GAGAAAUCAAAGCCGAAUUCCCUGCGCCGGGGAAACGGGGGAACCACUUUGGGUGAAUUGAUCUCGUAAGCGAGGGAUCAUAGGGAACCUUCAACCGAAUCCUUAAGCUAACCUCGUAGGCAUUGGAAGGAGCAUAA
Regulatory RNA element from Paenibacillus macerans, 137 nucleotides. It matches the Rfam family "c-di-AMP riboswitch aptamer (ydaO/yuaA leader)". From Rfam's summary of the family: This family represents a conserved RNA structure found upstream of the ydaO and yuaA genes in Bacillus subtilis and related genes in other bacteria. The ydaO/yuaA element is thought to act as a genetic "off" switch for the ydaO and yuaA genes in its native state. The record is from Rfam. Lineage: Bacteria; Bacillati; Bacillota; Bacilli; Caryophanales; Paenibacillaceae.